AGCACCUACGGGUGUGAAGUCAUUGAUGCCAUGCUUCCAGGAAAAGCCUCUAAGCUUCAGAUUGUAAGGAAUCGUACCCCAAACCGACACAGGUGGUCGGGUAGAGAAUACCAAGGCGCUUGAGAGAACUCGGGUGAAGGAACUAGGCAAAAUGGUACCGUAACUUCGGGAGAAGGUACGCUCUUGAUGGUGAAGUCCCUCGCGGAUGGAGCUGAUGAGAGUCGCAGAUACCAGGUGGCUGCAACUGUUUAUUAAAAACACAGCACUGUGCAAAAUCGUAAGAUGACGUAUACGGUGUGACGCCUGCCCGGUGCCGGAAGGUUAAUUGAUGGGGUUAGCGUAAGCGAAGCUCUUGAUCGAAGCCCCGGUAAACGGCGGCCGUAACUAUAACGGUCCUAAGGUAGCGAAAUUCCUUGUCGGGUAAGUUCCGACCUGCACGAAUGGCGUAAUGAUGGCCACGCUGUCUCCACCCGAGACUCAGUGAAAUUGAAAUCGCUGUGAAGAUGCAGUGUACCCGCGGCUAGACGGAAAGACCCCGUGAACCUUUACUACAGCUUGGCACUGAACAUUGAACCUACAUGUGUAGGAUAGGUGGGAGGCUUUGAAGACGUGACGCUAGUUGCGUUGGAGCCGUCCUUGAAAUACCACCCUUGUAUGUUUGAUGUUCUAACUUAGCCCCGUUAUCCGGGGUGAGGACAGUGCCUGGUGGGUAGUUUGACUGGGGCGGUCUCCUCCCAAAGAGUAACGGAGGAGCACGAAGGUGGGCUAAUCACGGUUGGACAUCGUGAGGUUAGUGCAAUGGCAUAAGCCCGCUUAACUGCGAGAAUGACGGUUCGAGCAGGUGCGAAAGCAGGUCAUAGUGAUCCGGUGGUUCUGUAUGGAAGGGCCAUCGCUCAACGGAUAAAAGGUACUCCGGGGAUAACAGGCUGAUACCGCCCAAGAGUUCAUAUCGACGGCGGUGUUUGGCACCUCGAUGUCGGCUCAUCACAUCCUGGGGCUGAAGUCGGUCCCAAGGGUAUGGCUGUUCGCCAUUUAAAGUGGUACGCGAGCUGGGUUUAGAACGUCGUGAGACAGUUCGGUCCCUAUCUGCCGUGGGCGUUGGAAGAUUGAAGGGGGCUGCUCCUAGUACGAGAGGACCGGAGUGGACGAACCUCUGGUGUUCGGGUUGUGUCGCCAGACGCAUUGCCCGGUAGCUAAGUUCGGAAUCGAUAACCGCUGAAAGCAUCUAAGCGGGAAGCGAGCCCUGAGAUGAGUCUUCCCUGACAGUUUAACUGUCCUAAAGGGUUGUUCGAGACUAGAACGUUGAUAGGCAGGGUGUGUAAGCGUUGUGAGGCGUUGAGCUAACCUGUACUAAUUGCCCGUGAGGCUUAACCAU
Molecule: ribosomal RNA, 1375 nt
Filed under: Vibrio fluvialis
Lineage: Bacteria; Pseudomonadati; Pseudomonadota; Gammaproteobacteria; Vibrionales; Vibrionaceae
Description: partial 23S ribosomal RNA
Rfam family: Bacterial large subunit ribosomal RNA
Source: RNAcentral